UUUUAAAGAAAUUGAUGAGCUGUUAAUUAGGAGAAUAACCCAUCUACGGCAGAUGUCCUUGAUCCGGGGUUGAGUCCACAAAGGCCUCCUUCACCAAGCUGUCCUAUGCACAGUAGGGCAAGCAGGGGUUUUGUGUGGCCUACGUGGACCUGUGUCUCCCGGUAUUCCCUGGCCACCCGCCUAAGACUUUCCGUGGUAGCCCUGUCCUCCACACCCUCAGGAGAGCCACAAGAUUCGUGUUUAAGACUGCAGGUUACUAUGUCACUUGGUGCUGCUAAAUUAAUCCAAUUACAUCAGAAAGGAGGAUGGGCAUUGAAGAAACUCAAUAUGGAGUUUGCUUUCAACAUGGCAAGAUUAGCCAUUUGGGCAAGAAACUGCUCUUGCCUGGACUGUUUGUUGCUGCAUAAAGUAGACAUGCAGGACCCACAGAAAGUGACUGCUGAAC
This 445-nucleotide long non-coding RNA is filed under the name Cricetulus griseus (Chinese hamster). RNAcentral's name for it is "lncRNA (ENSCGRG00015035036.1)". The record is from RNAcentral. Lineage: Eukaryota; Metazoa; Chordata; Mammalia; Rodentia; Cricetidae.